AGGUGCCCCAGCGGUUCUGGGGAGCAAUUCCUCUCUUCAUAUGACCAUUUGGGAAACCCCCAGUGAGAUGGAGUGUGCUUUUAAGCCAUGAAAACCAUGCACAUCAGCCCCACCACAGAGCCUGUGUGAUUUCAUCUUAGAUGGUAUCUUGGAAGCAAGACCUACCUGGACUUUUUAGAAAUCUAAUCUAAUCAUUUUCUGUCUUGGAGUAGGGCACCUGCUCUAUGCUCACUGCUGGGAUCACACAGGGGAAUGAGUAGAGCUCUCCCUGGCCUCAGACACCCCCACUUAGUGAGAAGGUUACCUGUGGGGACAACUCCCUUGCCAGGUGAUAAUAGCUAUGAUGGAAGCACCCACAGAAUGUUUGAAAAGAUUUGGCAAAAGUGGGGCCACAGUGUUGCCUUUGGCAACAGCUAGGUGAAGCUGAUCAGCAGCCAUCCCUUUGGGUAGGUCCAUGCUCCAUUUCUCCACUGUCCUCACCAAGGCCAGACUAGGUCAGGCAAACAAGGCCCAAGAAGCCAACUUUAAGGAGGCACUCAUCUCCCAUUGCUAGCCUUGUACUUGCAAAGCCCCAAGAGUGAGUGCUUCCUUAAAACAUGCAUCCUGGGCACCUUCCUAGCCUUGCCCUAGCCCUAGUCCUGACCCUGGUCUCCAACACUCCCUACUGCCUCCCCAACAGUGAGGCCAUGUAUAAAUGGUCACAUCCUGCUUGCUCUGUUGUUUGUCUACUGCUAGAGUUAAGAGGAAUGUGAAUUUUCUGGUAUGCUUGUCUCCAUCAAAACUGAGUAAACAAAAUAUAAACCAAAAA
This 808-nucleotide long non-coding RNA is filed under the name Homo sapiens (human). RNAcentral's name for it is "HSALNT0305091". Lineage: Eukaryota; Metazoa; Chordata; Mammalia; Primates; Hominidae. The record is from RNAcentral.